RNAcentral lists this ribosomal RNA (428 nucleotides) under uncultured prokaryote. RNAcentral's name for it is "bacterial SSU rRNA". It matches the Rfam family "Bacterial small subunit ribosomal RNA", at positions 355 to 774 of the family's 1533-position model. The record is from RNAcentral.
UGGGGAAUAUUGGACAAUGGGCGAAAGCCUGAUCCAGCCAUGCCGCGUGUGUGAAGAAGGCCUUUUGGUUGUAAAGCACUUUAAGCGAGGAGGAGGCUCCUAUAGAUAAUACCUAUAGAGAGUGGACGUUACUCGCAGAAUAAGCACCGGCUAACUCUGUGCCAGCAGCCGCGGUAAUACAGAGGGUGCAAGCGUUAAUCGGAUUUACUGGGCGUAAAGCGUACGUAGGUGGUCUUUUAAGUCGGAUGUGAAAUCCCUGAGCUUAACUUAGGAAUUGCAUUCGAUACUGGGAGACUAGAGUAUGGGAGAGGAUGGUAGAAUUCCAGGUGUAGCGGUGAAAUGCGUAGAGAUCUGGAGGAAUACCGAUGGCGAAGGCAGCCAUCUGGCCUAAUACUGACACUGAGGUACGAAAGCAUGGGGAGCAAACA